Molecule: ribosomal RNA, 743 nt
Filed under: Hemiselmis virescens
Lineage: Eukaryota; Cryptophyceae; Cryptomonadales; Hemiselmidaceae
Description: partial Bacterial large subunit ribosomal RNA
Rfam family: Bacterial large subunit ribosomal RNA
Source: RNAcentral
GUACCGUGAGGGAAAGGUGAAAAGUACCCCGAUAAGGGGAGUGAAAUAGAACCUGAAACCGAAUGCUUACAAGCAGUUGGAGGGCCCAUGUGGCCUGACAGCGUACCUUUUGUAUAAUGGGUCAUCGACUUGGUCUAUCUAGCAAGCUUAAGCCGUUAGGUGUAGGCGUAGCGAAAGCGAGUCUUAAUAGGGCGCCUAGUUUGUUGCAUUAGACCCGAAACCGAGUGAUCUAGCCAUGAGCAGGUUGAAGGUUGGGUAACACCAACUGGAGGACCGAACCCACAUCCGUUGAAAAGGAUCGGGAUGAGCUGUGCCUAGGGGUGAAAGGCCAAUCAAACUCGGAGAUAGCUGGUUCUCUGCGAAAUCUAUUUAGGUAGAGCGUCAUCCGAAUACCCCCGGGGGUAGAGCACUGGAUGGGUAAUGGGGCCCCACAGGCUUACUGAUCCUAACCAAACUCCGAAUACCGAGGAGUACUAGUCGGCAGACACACGGCGGGUGCUAACGUCCGUCGUGAAAAGGGAAACAACCCUGACCUCCAGCUAAGGUCCCCAAGUCAUGGCUAAGUGGGAAAGGAUGUGAGACUCCCAAAACAACCAGGAUGUUGGCUUAGAAGCAGCCAUCAUUUAAAGAAAGCGUAACAGCUCACUGGUCUAAAUAAGUUGUCCUGCGGCGAAGAUGUAACGGGGCUCAAGCCAUGAGCCGAAGCUUAGGAUGCACAUAGUGCAUGGUAGCAGAGCGUAGUG